AAUAGAUACCCGAGGUAGUCCAUGCCGUAAACGUUGGGCACUAGGUGUGGGGCUCAGUUCCACGAGUUCCGUGCCGCAGCAAACGCAUUAAGUGCCCCGCCUGGGGAGUACGGCCGCAAGGCUAAAACUCAAAGGAAUUGACGGGGGCCCGCACAAGCGGCGGAGCAUGCGGAUUAAUUCGAUGCAACGCGAAGAACCUUACCAAGGCUUGACAUGCACGGGAAGCCACCAGAGAUGGUGGUCUCUUUGGACACUCGUGCACAGGUGGUGCAUGGUUGUCGUCGGCUCGUGUCGUGAGAUGUUGGGUUAAGUCCCGCAACGAGCGCAACCCUCGUCCCAUGUUGCCAGCGGGGUUAUGCCGGGGACUCAUGGGAGACUGGCCGGGGUCAACUCGGAGGAAGGUGGGGAUGACGUCAAAUCAUCAUGCCCCUUAUGUCUUGGGCUUCACGCAUGCUACAAUGGCCGGUACAAGGGCUGCGAUGCCGUAAGGUGAGCGAAUCCCAAAAGCCGGUCUCAGUUCGGAUUGGGGU
This 530-nucleotide ribosomal RNA is filed under the name uncultured bacterium. Its description in RNAcentral is "bacterial SSU rRNA". It matches the Rfam family "Bacterial small subunit ribosomal RNA", at positions 777 to 1304 of the family's 1533-position model. The record is from RNAcentral.